UGGUCCUCAUUGUCCCCUUGGUGGCCCCUCAAUGGCCCCAUCGUGGCCCCAUGGUCCUUGGUGGCCCCUCGAUGUCUCCUUGGUGGCCCCAUGGUCCUCACGGAUCUCCAUGGUCCUUGGUGACCCCUUGGUGACCCCUUGGUGACCCCUUGGUGACCCCUUGGUGGCCCCUUGGUGGCCCCUUAGUGGUCCCUUGGUGGCCCCAUGGUCCUCAGUGGCCCCUUGGUGGCCCCUCAAUGUCCCCAUGGUCCUUGGUGGCCCCUCAAUGUCCCCUUGGUGGCCCCUCGAUGGUCCCAUGGUCCUUGGUGGCCCCUUGGUCCUCAGGGUUCUCCAUGGUCCUUGGUGGCCCCUCAAUGUCCCCUUGGUGGCACCUCAACGUCCCCUUGGUGGCCCCAUGGUCCUCAGGGAUCUUCAUGGUCCUUGGUGGCCCCUUGGUGGCCCCUCAACGUCCCCUUGGUGGCCCCAUGGUGUCUUGUGGCCCCUCAAUGUCCCCUUGGUAGCCCCUUGGUGGCCCCAUGGUCCUCAGUGGCCCCUUGGUGGCCCCUCAACGUCCCCUUGGUGGCCCCUCAACGUCCUCAUGGUCCUUGGUGGCCUCUCAAUGUUCCCUUGGUGACCCCUUGGUGGCCUCUCAACGUCCUCAUGGUUCUUGGUGGCCCCUCAAUGUCCCCUUGGUGGCCCCAUGGUCCUCAGGGUUCUCCAUGGUCCUUGGUGGCCCCUCAAUGUCCCCUUGGUGGCCCCUCGGUGGCCCCUCAAUGGCCCCAUGGUCCUUGGUGGCCCUUCAACCUCCCUUGGUGGCCCCUUGAUGGUCCUACGGUGGCCCCUCAAUGUCCCCAUCAAGUCACCUUGGUGGCCCCACGGUGGCACCAUGGUCCUUGGUGGCCCCUCGAUGUCCCCUUGGUGGCCCCUCGAUGUCCCCUUGGUGGCCCCUUGGUGACCCCAUGGUCCUCAGGGUUCUCCAUGGUCCUUGGUGGCCCCUUGGUGGCCCCUCAACGUCCGCUUGGUGGCCCCUCAAUGUCCCCUCGAUGUCCCCUUGGUGGCCCCAUGGUCCUCAGGGUUCUCCAUGGACCUUGGUGGCCCCUCAAUGUCCCUUUGGUGGCCCCUCGAUGGUCCCAUGGUGGCCCCUUGGUGGCCUCUCAAUGUCCUCAUGGUCCCUGGUGGCCCCUCGAUGUCCCCUUGGUGGCCCCUCGAUGUCCCCUUGGUGGCCCCUUGGUCCUCAGGGAUCUCCAUGGUCCUUGGUGGCCCCUCAACAUCCUCAUGGUCCUUGGUGGCCCCUCAUUGUCCCCUUGGUGGCCCCUCGAUGUCCCCUUGGUGGCCCCAUGGUCCUCAGUGGCCCCUCAGUGGCCCCUCAAUGUCCCCUUGGUGGCCCCAUGGUCCUCAGGGAUCUCCAUGGUCCUUGGUGGCCCCUUGAUGGCCUCUCAAUGUCCCCUCAACAUCCCCUUGGUGGCCCCUUGGUGGCACCUCAAUGUCCUCAUGGUCCUUGGUGGCCCCUUGGUGGCCCCUUGGUGGCCCCUUGGUGGCCCCUCAAUGAUCCCUUGGUGACCCCUUGGUGGCCCCUCAAUGUCCCCUUGGUGGCUCCUUGGUGGCUCCUCAAUGUCCUCAUGGUCCUUGGUGGCCCCUCAAUGGCCCCUUGAUGUCCCCUUGGUGGCCUCUUGGUGGC
This 1657-nucleotide long non-coding RNA is filed under the name Calidris pugnax (ruff). RNAcentral describes it as "lncRNA (ENSCPUG00000001733.1)". The record is from RNAcentral. Lineage: Eukaryota; Metazoa; Chordata; Aves; Charadriiformes; Scolopacidae.